This 497-nucleotide ribosomal RNA is filed under the name uncultured bacterium. Its description in RNAcentral is "partial 16S ribosomal RNA". It matches the Rfam family "Bacterial small subunit ribosomal RNA", at positions 28 to 507 of the family's 1533-position model. The record is from RNAcentral.
GAUGAACGCUGGCGGCGUGCCUAACACAUGCAAGUCGAGCGAACAGACGAGGAGCUUGGUCCUCGUACGUGAGCGGCGGACGGGUGAGUAACACGUGGGUAACCUACCUAUUACACUGGGAUAACUUCGGGAAACCGGAUCUAAUACCGGAUAGUAUAUUGAACUGCAUUGUUCAAUAGUGAAAGACAUUUUUUUUGUCACUUAUAGACUGAUCCGCUCCGCGUUAGCUAGUUGGUUAGGUAACGGCUUACCAAUCGACCGAUGCGUAGCCUGCCGGAGUGGGUGAUCGGACAGACUGGAUCUGAGAGACGGUCCAGCCUCAUACGGACGGCAGGAGGCGGGAAUCUUCAGCGCUGGGCGAGAGCAAGACGGAUGAACGCAGCGCGAGUGAUGAAGGUCUUCGGAUCGUAAGUCUCUGUUAUUCGGGAAGAACGAAUGUGUAAGUAACUAUGCACGUCUUGACGGUACCUUAUCAGAAAGCCACGGCUAACUACGUG